UUUCAUUUCAUGCAUUCUUGCAGUUUCAUUGCUGAGGCAAAGAUUACUUUAUAUUUUGUGGUUUAAAAUCGAUGUUAAGUGGAAAAGCGUUUUUAUUUCACAGUUGACAAGCGAUUUUGAUGGAAGCUUGUUUUCGUAUGCCGACUUUACGGUCGUUACAAAGUAGAGAAAUACAAAGAAUUAUUAUGAACCUUACAUUGAGCCUCAAGAUGGAAUUGUAAAACCUUGCAACACCUUCUACCAUCUAAAUCACCUAAUAUGUCUAAAUCAUGUACAAACAAUCCUGAGGGCACACUUUUUACUGGUAGGUAAAGAUAGGUGAUAUAUUUAAGUACAGGUAAAGAUGCAGUUUAAAAUUGUGUUAAAAAUGUGAGUGUUUCCAAAUGUCUGUGCAUUUGAUUCUCAUUUUCUUUUUUUGUAACAUCUGCUGCAUUUCCCUAGCCAUCUACCAUCAAGAAUGCAUACAUAAAUAUGUAUUGUAAGGGAUAUUGUUAUUGAAUUCUCAAAAAGACAUACAAUUUUGGAUUCAGGAAUCAACAUCGUUGUCACCUGGUUAGAAGUAAAGAACAGAAAGUUUUUUUAAAGGUUAAGGAAAUAUUUGUUGAAUGUCACAGUUAAUAUCCAAAUCUUAGAAACUUCUCUGGAUGAAUCAUUAUUUGCACCAUAUAGCUUAAUGUUCUUUAGGAACGAAACAAUUAAGUACAUGCAAAACAAGUAAUUAUUUUCAUUUUUCAGGUAAAACGUUUGGUGGAAAAGUAAAAGACCACUACAGUUAUGCUUUGGUUGUGUUGGCAGGCAGAUCUAAGUUGAUGCACACAGUAGUAGUGUUCAAGCCAGAUGCUCUGCAGUGUAUUAAUGGUGGAAGAGCCUUCCUCAUCAGGGAUCGAAUAAAACCGUUACGGACUCAUAGAACUUCAAAUUAUACCUAUUCGUUCUUUGCAUGCGCACAGAUUUUUACAUAGAUGUAAAAUCAAUAAUACAUAAUUUUUUUAAGAUUUAAGAGUAAUUUAAAGGAAAUAAAUAAAGUUUUAGUUCUCAAAA
This 1041-nucleotide long non-coding RNA is filed under the name Daphnia magna. RNAcentral describes it as "uncharacterized LOC116920595, transcript variant X1". Lineage: Eukaryota; Metazoa; Arthropoda; Branchiopoda; Diplostraca; Daphniidae. The record is from RNAcentral.